UAGCUAGUUGGUGAGGUAAGGGCUCACCAAGGCGACGAUCCCUAGCUGGUCUGAGAGGAUGAUCAGCCACACUGGAACUGAGACACGGUCCAGACUCCUACGGGAGGCAGCAGUGGGGAAUAUUGCACAAUGGGCGCAAGCCUGAUGCAGCCAUGCCGCGUGUGUGAAGAAGGCCUUCGGGUUGUAAAGCACUUUCAGUCGUGAGGAAGGUAGUGUAGUUAAUAGCGGCAUUAUUUGACGUUAGCGACAGAAGAAGCACCGGCUAACUCCGUGCCAGCAGCCGCGGUAAUACGGAGGGUGCGAGCGUUAAUCGGAAUUACUGGGCGUAAAGCGCAUGCAGGUGGUUUGUUAAGUCAGAUGUGAAAGCCCGGGGCUCAACCUCGGAAUAGCAUUUGAAACUGGCAGACUAGAGUACUGUAGAGGGGGGUAGAAUUUCAGGUGUAGCGGUGAAAUGCGUAGAGAUCUGAAGGAAUACCGGUGGCGAAGGCGGCCCCCUGGACAGAUACUGACACUCAGAUGCGAAAGCGUGGGGAGCAAACAGGAUUAGAUACCCUGGUAGUCCACGCCGUAAACGAUGUCUACUUGGAGGUUGUGGCCUUGAGCCGUGGCUUUCGGAGCUAACGCGUUAAGUAGACCGCCUGGGGAGUACGGUCGCAAGAUUAAAACUCAAAUGAAUUGACGGGGGCCCGCACAAGCGGUGGAGCAUGUGGUUUAAUUCGAUGCAACGCGAAGAACCUUACCUACUCUUGACAUCCAGAGAACUUUCCAGAGAUGGAUUGGUGCCUUCGGGAACUCUGAGACAGGUGC
Molecule: ribosomal RNA, 807 nt
Filed under: Vibrio harveyi
Lineage: Bacteria; Pseudomonadati; Pseudomonadota; Gammaproteobacteria; Vibrionales; Vibrionaceae
Description: bacterial SSU rRNA
Rfam family: Bacterial small subunit ribosomal RNA
Source: RNAcentral